RNAcentral lists this signal recognition particle RNA (299 nucleotides) under Hucho hucho (huchen). RNAcentral describes it as "Metazoan signal recognition particle RNA (ENSHHUG00000029564.1)". It matches the Rfam family "Metazoan signal recognition particle RNA". From Rfam's summary of the family: The signal recognition particle (SRP) is a universally conserved ribonucleoprotein. Lineage: Eukaryota; Metazoa; Chordata; Actinopteri; Salmoniformes; Salmonidae. The record is from RNAcentral.
UUCGGACGCUGUCCACGGCGUGUCUGUAAUUCAAGUGUCUGGGUGACUUAGGCUGAAGGACCGCUUGAGCUCGGGAGUUUGGUGCUGCAGUGAGCUAUGUUGAAUUGGGGUCCUUUACACGGCCAACAUCAGCAUGGUGAGUUACAGGGAGCUGGAGGCCACCAGGUUGUCUAAGGAGGGGUGAACCAACCCAGGCUGGUAACGAGCAGGUUAAAUCCCCUGUGUUGGUAGAUGUGGGGACAGCCCCUGUGAAUAGAACCUGCAGUGUUACCUGUGCAAGACAGUGGAACACAGCCUUU